GGCGGGUGUAUUCUUUCCGCCGAUUCUGUUGAAAAACUUUUCUUAAACGGAAGCAAACGGAAUGAAACUGGGAUAAACAUACAUCAAUUUGUCCAAUAGGAACUCUUGUUUGCAACUGUUGGACUAAUGAUUACACCCUAUGUCCGCUAGAUGCAAGCAAGAGUGUGCGACGCGGUAAUGAAUGUGUCACUGUUUUUCCAUGUGUCACUGUCUGUCACCUCAAAUCUUUCUCUCGACCUGUGUGCACCUAUGUUGAAUUCAUAGGCUAGGUUGUAGCAACCUCAUGAUGGGGAUAGGAAGAAUUUGAUUAUCAUGUAGUAGCCUAAACCUAUCGAUGUUAAACUGGGUGGAUGGAAUAUGAAUGACAGUCCUCCAAUAUGCUGUAAUAGAAAUAAGGCCAUGCUCAUAAAAUUAAUAAUCGUCCUCCCUGAUCUUAAACGGCACCGACCGCCACUACGAUGGAGCAACAGUCUGCCAAUGACCUUCCACUUCCCCACCACCACCAACAAACUAAAGGCCUGUCAUCGGAUCCCCGUUCUCCUAGUGGCGGGGGGUUUCGAUGCAAGGUGCCCAGCAUAGGGCGACCUGUCAUCAGCAUCUGGCUUCCUCGGAGACGAGGCUUACCCAAAACUAUUCAAUACAAUUCCAUAUUGUGUCCUGUCUCUGUUGUCAUUCAGCUAAGCCUGCACUCAAUUGAAUGUAUGUUUUGAGAAGGCAACUACAUUUGAAAAAGCGUUUGCUGUUUUACAAAUGGCCACACACUUCUGUGUCUUGUGAACUGGGUUUUGAAUAUUGACAUUGUUGUUCCAUAAACAAAAAUGCUUGUAUGCGAUUGAUAAAAAGUGUAAUCAGAAUAAUCAGGAAACAUAGUGGGCACAUAUUGUAUUUUUUUAAAUGUUAUUACCCGAUUCUUAAGAUCUGAAGUAGAGCCAAACAGAAAAGGACCAGCAUAAUGUUGUACGUAGGUUGCAAUUAUAUACCUACCCAUGAAGCCAAGUCCGUACAGUCAAUGCCAAGUCCAUACAUACAGCCAAGAUUAUAUGUUGGUUAAUUGGGAUGAUAAUUCUGCAUGACAAGGAAGCUGAGACCAGAAUAGAGCUGAAGAAAAGGCUCAUUGUGCCAAAAGCAGCCCACACACAAGCACUGAUCCUCUCUCUUUCAGCACUUGUCUGUUCUGGGAAGAAAACAAACAUUUGGUUGAUUGGCUUCAGUUGACCAUGGUAACGGGGGCGAAGCAGCCAAAUACGGGGCGAGUCAAAAAAAAAUCUGCUCUUACAUACAAGAUGGCUCUCUGAUGUUGUGGGUGGUGGUGUUGUGUGUGUGCUUCUCCCCAGGCUGGUUUCAGAUGGCACCUCCACCCUGGGUGCAACUGUCUGAAUCUAUGUGAUUACAGUAUUGCUCAAUAUCCUUGAAAUAGCUACAAUAUUGUUACAAUAUUGCCAUGUUUGAAUGAAAUGAUAUUACACAUAAUUCUUUGACUUUCCUCUGUUGCUGCGGUUACGACAAGGGGUGGCGUUUUCUUUGGAGCUUGGGUUGUGAUUCAAUAUCUACGGUAUACCAUAUGUAUAGCUCAGACCAAACUAACUAUAGUUAAGUAAGAGACUAGCACUAAACUGAGGGAUAAAUCCAAACAAAGAAUAAACCCCCAUUCACUGGAACAACAUCAAUAAUGGCCCUGCAAUGAAUAAAAACCUCAUUUCAAUUGACGCACACAUUUCCAUUUAGGUCUUAUAUACAGUAGCUUUAGAUGUAUGGCACACCCUUUCAUUCAUUUCAUGUGGAUCAAAUUCAGGCUCUUUGCUCUAAUACUGUCUGAGGAUUAUCACCUUCAGACUCAUGUUUCCAAUGUCAAUUCAAUCCAUUAUUUUUCCAUUCCUGGGUUUUCUUUGAAAUUUAAGUGCUGAUUUGAGUGCUGAGACUGUCUUUGCCCCCUGACAGUGGGCAAGAGUCCUCCUCCUGUCAUUUCUUCACUCAAUAUUCAUGGAUUCAUUCAGAUCUGAAACACAUAACCAUCCCGAGGCUAGCUGAAGUUCCGCUGCCUCCUGGUGUCAAGUUGUCAAU
RNAcentral lists this long non-coding RNA (2061 nucleotides) under Salmo salar (Atlantic salmon). RNAcentral describes it as "lncRNA (ENSSSAG00000119777.1)". The record is from RNAcentral. Lineage: Eukaryota; Metazoa; Chordata; Actinopteri; Salmoniformes; Salmonidae.